This 354-nucleotide ribosomal RNA is filed under the name bacterium LimC-1-J-32. Its description in RNAcentral is "bacterial SSU rRNA". It matches the Rfam family "Bacterial small subunit ribosomal RNA", at positions 289 to 655 of the family's 1533-position model. The record is from RNAcentral.
GGCCUGAGAGGGUGACCGGCCACACUGGGACUGAGACACGGCCCAGACUCCUACGCCAGGCAGCAGUGGGGAAUAUUGCACAAUGGGCGAAAGCCUGAUGCAGCGACGCCGCGUGAGGGAUGACGGCCUUCGGGUUGUAAACCUCUUUCAGUAGGGAAGAAGCGAAAGUGACGGUACCUGCAGAAGAAGCGCCGGCUAACUACGUGCCAGCAGCCGCGGUAAUACGUAGGGCGCAAGCGUUAUCCGGAAUUAUUGGGCGUAAAGAGCUCGUAGGCGGUUUGUCGCGUCUGCUGUGAAAGGCCAGGGCUCAACCCUGGUUCUGCAGUGGGUACGGGCAGACUUGAGUGAUGUAGG